Molecule: long non-coding RNA, 827 nt
Filed under: Oryctolagus cuniculus (rabbit)
Lineage: Eukaryota; Metazoa; Chordata; Mammalia; Lagomorpha; Leporidae
Description: lncRNA (ENSOCUG00000037676.1)
Source: RNAcentral
AGCCCCGGCCUCUCCUGCAGCCUCUCCUUUGCCUGCUGUGCUGGGCGCGUGGGAUUGGCCCCACCCCGCCAUCUCCGCUCCCCUCCUUUAUCCCCAGUGUCUGGCCUGCUCCCUGGCCUCUGAGACGCACCCUGGGAGGGAGGGAGCCUUCGCAAACAGACGGACUCCAGAUGAAAACCCCGCCAGCCGUGCCACCUUCUUUCCUGUCCCUGGAUGGAAGCCCUCCUGGGUGGACCCCAGCCUCUGAUUUCUCCUGGCUUCUGACUUUGGAAGGAUCUCCCAGCACACCCUGCUUUGUCCUGGGAACAUGCGUCAUCCCAUCGGCCUCCCUAGAAGCUGCAGACCUCGGGAGGGAAGACCCACGUCUGCUCUUCUCCUGCCCCUCUGGUGCCAAGAGGUCAGGAUCUGGGCUUCCUGCAGCUGAUUUUCCUGCACAAGUCCUGGCCAGCCUGGAGAUAGGGGUGUUCCUGGAAGCUGGCCAGAGAGUGAAAACCAUUUCCUGCUCGCUGUGGACCAGGUCCAGAGGCUGCGCCCGAGGCUCCCACGCCAACCGUCCAGUGUCCUUGGCCGAGGGCAGGGAUCUCGCCGCCUUUCCCCCUUCCUCAGCCAAACCCUCACACUCCCGCAGCCGAAUCGCCGGAGGCCGGGAAAGACCCUCGCCUGUCCCUUGCAGCAAGAGUGACAGACCUGGGCAGAGGCCACGUUCGUCCCCACAGACAGCCUCGCUUCCCUGCUCCACUUGCCUUUCCCCAGGGCAGCUCCGGGCCGGGCCUGCAUGGGAGCCAGCCCCCACUACCCACCAGAACCAGCAGCCCCCAGAGAGCUGA